AUUCGGAGCUAACAAAAACAAAC
RNAcentral lists this non-coding RNA (23 nucleotides) under Cricetulus griseus (Chinese hamster). The record is from RNAcentral. Lineage: Eukaryota; Metazoa; Chordata; Mammalia; Rodentia; Cricetidae.